This 497-nucleotide ribosomal RNA is filed under the name uncultured bacterium. RNAcentral describes it as "partial 16S ribosomal RNA". It matches the Rfam family "Bacterial small subunit ribosomal RNA", at positions 28 to 507 of the family's 1533-position model. The record is from RNAcentral.
GAUGAACGCUGGCGGCGUGCCUAAUACAUGCAAGUCGAGCGAACGGACGAUAAGCUCGCUUCUCUGAUGUUAGCGGCGGACGGGUGAGUAACACGUGGAUAACCUACCUAUAAGACUGGGAUAACUUCGGGAAACCGGAGCUAAUACCGGAUAAUAUUUUGAACCGCAUGGUUCAAAAGUGAAAGACGGUCUUGCUGUCACUUAUAGAUGGAUCCGCGCUGCAUUAGCUAGUUGGUAAGGUAACGGCUUACCAAGGCAACGAUGCAUAGCCGACCUGAGAGGGUGAUCGGCCACACUGGAACUGAGACACGGUCCAGACUCCUACGGGAGGCAGCAGUAGGGAAUCUUCCGCAAUGGGCGAAAGCCUGACGGAGCAACGCCGCGUGAGUGAUGAAGGUCUUCGGAUCGUAAAACUCUGUUAUUAGGGAAGAACAUAUGUGUAAGUAACUGUGCACAUCUUGACGGUACCUAAUCAGAAAGCCACGGCUAACUACGUG